UACGUAGGCAGCAAGCGUUGUUCGGAGUUACUGGGCGUAAAGAGCGUGUAGGCGGCCAUACAGGUCAGCUGUGAAAACUCGAGGCUCAACCUCGAGACGUCGGUUGAAACCGUAUGGCUAGAGUCCGGAAGAGGAGAGUGGAAUUCCCGGUGUAGCGGUGAAAUGCGCAGAUAUCGGGAAGAACACCCGUGGCGAAGGCGGCUCUCUGGGACGGUACUGACGCUGAGACGCGAAAGCGUGGGGAGCGAACAGG
RNAcentral lists this ribosomal RNA (253 nucleotides) under uncultured bacterium. Its description in RNAcentral is "partial 16S ribosomal RNA". It matches the Rfam family "Bacterial small subunit ribosomal RNA", at positions 524 to 776 of the family's 1533-position model. The record is from RNAcentral.